This 466-nucleotide ribosomal RNA is filed under the name Salmonella enterica. RNAcentral describes it as "bacterial SSU rRNA". It matches the Rfam family "Bacterial small subunit ribosomal RNA", at positions 1048 to 1514 of the family's 1533-position model. RNAcentral also lists the same sequence under 3 other names. The record is from RNAcentral. Lineage: Bacteria; Pseudomonadati; Pseudomonadota; Gammaproteobacteria; Enterobacterales; Enterobacteriaceae.
GCUGUCGUCAGCUCGUGUUGUGAAAUGUUGGGUUAAGUCCCGCAACGAGCGCAACCCUUAUCCUUUGUUGCCAGCGGUCCGGCCGGGAACUCAAAGGAGACUGCCAGUGAUAAACUGGAGGAAGGUGGGGAUGACGUCAAGUCAUCAUGGCCCUUACGACCAGGGCUACACACGUGCUACAAUGGCGCAUACAAAGAGAAGCGACCUCGCGAGAGCAAGCGGACCUCAUAAAGUGCGUCGUAGUCCGGAUUGGAGUCUGCAACUCGACUCCAUGAAGUCGGAAUCGCUAGUAAUCGUGGAUCAGAAUGCCACGGUGAAUACGUUCCCGGGCCUUGUACACACCGCCCGUCACACCAUGGGAGUGGGUUGCAAAAGAAGUAGGUAGCUUAACCUUCGGGAGGGCGCUUACCACUUUGUGAUUCAUGACUGGGGUGAAGUCGUAACAAGGUAACCGUAGGGGAACCUG